CGGAGGAAAAGAAACUAACAAGGAUUCCCCUAGUAACUGCGAGUGAAGCGGGAAGAGCUCAAAUUUGAAAUCUGGCGGUUCCGCCGUCCGAGUUGUAAUCUGGAGAAGCGUUUUCCGUGCCGGACCGUGUACAAGUCCCUUGGAACAGGGCGUCAUAGAGGGUGAGAAUCCCGUCUUUGACACGGACUCCCGGUGCUCUGCGAUGCGCUCUCGAAGAGUCGAGUUGUUUGGGAAUGCAGCUCAAAAUGGGUGGUAAAUUCCAUCUAAAGCUAAAUAUUGGCGAGAGACCGAUAGCGAACAAGUACCGUGAGGGAAAGAUGAAAAGCACUUUGGAAAGAGAGUAAAACAGUACGUGAAAUUGUUGAAAGGGAAACGCUUGAAGUCAGUCGCGUCUUCUGGGACUCAGCCUUGCUCUGCUCGGUGCACUUCCCAGUUUGACGGGUCAGCAUCGGCUCUGGGGGGCGGACAAAGGCGCGGGGAAGGUGGCAGCUCCGGCUGCGUUAUAGCCCCGCGUUACGCGUCCCCCGGGACCGAGGAAUCCGGCGCUCGCGCCUGGGAUGCUGGCGUAAUGGCUUUAAACGACCCGUCUUGA
RNAcentral lists this ribosomal RNA (592 nucleotides) under Subulicystidium brachysporum. RNAcentral's name for it is "LSU rRNA". It matches the Rfam family "Eukaryotic large subunit ribosomal RNA", at positions 51 to 657 of the family's 3401-position model. Lineage: Eukaryota; Fungi; Basidiomycota; Agaricomycetes; Trechisporales; Hydnodontaceae. The record is from RNAcentral.